UACGCUAAUACAUGGUUUACUAAUAUCUAACAUGAUUGAUACUGAAAUUUUGAUAACAUGGAUGACUGUGUCUGAUAGUCCUGAAUCUGAUGGAACCAUCUGAGUUCUGUACUGUAACUAAAUUGACUGUAUCUGACAGUCCUGGUACUAAAAUCUGAAGAACUAUCUAAGUUCUUUUACUGAGAUCGAGAAUGAAACUGUGGGAGGUAGUUGUUUAACCUACAUGCCUCAAAUGUGCUAUAAUAGCUGAGCUGGGGUCCAAUAUGUGC
RNAcentral lists this long non-coding RNA (269 nucleotides) under Capsicum annuum. Its description in RNAcentral is "long non-coding RNA (CANN_LNC014257)". Lineage: Eukaryota; Viridiplantae; Streptophyta; Magnoliopsida; Solanales; Solanaceae. The record is from RNAcentral.